UAUGGUCAUAACACAUUGAAGCACCGACUCUCAUGUGAUCACCGAAAUUAAGCAAUAUCAAGCCUGGUCAGUACCUAGAUGGGUGACUGCUUGGGAAUAUGUU
This is a non-coding RNA of Acanthosepion pharaonis, 103 nucleotides long. The record is from the annotation of a GenBank genome assembly. NCBI's taxonomy places the organism in Eukaryota, Metazoa, Mollusca, Cephalopoda, Sepiida, Sepiidae.